This 74-nucleotide transfer RNA is filed under the name Candidatus Kaiserbacteria bacterium CG_4_9_14_0_2_um_filter_41_32. RNAcentral describes it as "tRNA-Gln". It matches the Rfam family "tRNA". From Rfam's summary of the family: Transfer RNA (tRNA) molecules are approximately 80 nucleotides in length. Their secondary structure includes four short double-helical elements and three loops (D, anti-codon, and T loops). The record is from RNAcentral. Lineage: Bacteria; Candidatus Kaiseribacteriota.
UGGCGGAUCGUCUAAUGGUAGGACUCUGGUUUUUGGUGCCAGCUAUCGGGGUUCUAGUCCCUGUCCGCCAGCAA